This 1006-nucleotide long non-coding RNA is filed under the name Dasypus novemcinctus (nine-banded armadillo). Its description in RNAcentral is "lncRNA (ENSDNOG00000051805.1)". Lineage: Eukaryota; Metazoa; Chordata; Mammalia; Cingulata; Dasypodidae. The record is from RNAcentral.
AGGGGGACUUGGGCCCGGCCGCCGGCACAGGGCCCCUGAUGUACGCAGGGCAAAGUCGAGCUCGGCCUCCGCGGCCUGCGGCUCUCCAGCCCAGCGGCACGCCUGCCCGCGGCGCGGCGCGCGCCUUCUCCCCACGCCUUCCUGCGCUGGGCGAAGCUCCGCAGCCGUGUCCCCUCUGCCUCUGAAAACCAGGCUGAUCCAUCCAGCUGUGACCCGUCCGCUUGUGCGUUGAGAAAGGGGACAGUGAGGCCUAUUUGGAAACAAUGUUCUAAGAACGAUGACUCUGAGCACGAUGAUUCACCAGCAACAUCCAACCGAAACGCCAGCUACUCUUUUGCUUCUGAGGUUUGCUUUUCCUUGUGAAGGAGUCAUCAUCAAAAAAAGGAGAGAUGACUAUGAAGCCUUCUGGUGCUAAAAUGCAUGAUAGACUCACCAAACAUACCAUGCACACUCCAAAAUGGAAAGAGGAAGCUCCUGAUCCCGGGCCUAGGACAGAAGGCGUGACUUCACUGCAGUGCUCUUUUCCUUCACUACGGGGGAGCAGACCCAGGCAAACCAUCUCAGCAAGACUGGUUUCUUUGCAAUACCAAGUUUCUUCUUCCUUCCCUCUUUCCUUCUUUCUUUAGUCUGCUUCAAAUCAUUUUGGGUACUACAAUACCCAUGUUUUGAUGGAAUAUCGCCUCAAAUCCAUCUGAGAUUUCAACUGGAUCUAAAAAACUCAAACAAUACACAGCCCAUUAAAUAAACAGCAUUUUAAAGAACGUACCAUUGACUCAUAAUAAUGUGUAUCAAAUGGUGAGCUUUCAUUAUCAUUAUCAAAACUCAAACGACUUUUCAGAUUCUUCCUCCCUAUGAUUGCAACAAGACACUUCAAAAUUUAUUUUGCUUUCUCAUAAGUGAAUAUGUAUGCAAAAGUUUCUCCUGUUUCCUCGUUCAAACAUCCAGUGCCUUCUUCAGCUACAGCUAUGGGUCCCCCUGUUCCAGAAAUAAAAAGAAAUUUGGGUGC